UACAGAGGGUGCGAGCGUUAAUCGGAAUUAUUGGGCGUAAAGAGCGUGUAGGCGGAUAGUUAAGUUAGAUGUGAAAUACUUGGGCUCAACCUGAGGACUGCGUCUAAUACUGGUUAUCUAGAGUAUGGUAGAGGGAAGUGGAAUUUCCGGUGUAGCGGUGGAAUGCAUAGAUAUCGGAAGGAACCUCAGUGGCGAAGGCGGCUUCCUGGACCAAUACUGACGCUGAGACGCGAAAGCGUGGGUAGCAAACAGG
RNAcentral lists this ribosomal RNA (253 nucleotides) under uncultured bacterium. Its description in RNAcentral is "partial 16S ribosomal RNA". It matches the Rfam family "Bacterial small subunit ribosomal RNA", at positions 524 to 776 of the family's 1533-position model. The record is from RNAcentral.